GGCCUUUUAGCUCAGUCAGUAAAGAAUCUGCCUGCAAUGCAGGAGACCCGGGUUCGAUUCCUGGGUCA
RNAcentral lists this transfer RNA (68 nucleotides) under Bos taurus (domestic cattle). It matches the Rfam family "tRNA". Rfam says of the family: Transfer RNA (tRNA) molecules are approximately 80 nucleotides in length. RNAcentral also lists the same sequence under 3 other names. Lineage: Eukaryota; Metazoa; Chordata; Mammalia; Artiodactyla; Bovidae. The record is from Rfam by way of RNAcentral.